Molecule: ribosomal RNA, 253 nt
Filed under: uncultured bacterium
Lineage: Bacteria
Description: partial 16S ribosomal RNA
Rfam family: Bacterial small subunit ribosomal RNA
Source: RNAcentral
UACGGGGGGUGCGAGCGUUGUCCGGAAUCACUGGGCGUAAAGGGCGCGUAGGUGGCUUUGUAAGUUUGCGGUGAAAGCCCGGGGCUCAACCCCGGGUCUGCCGUGGAUACUGCAAGGCUUGAGUACUGUAGAGGCAGGUAGAAUAUCGGGUGUAGCGGUGGAAUGCGUAGAGAUCCGAUAGAAGACCGGUGGCGAAGGCGGCCUGCUGGGCAGUAACUGACGCUGAGGCGCGACAGCGUGGGGAGCAAACAGG